RNAcentral lists this small nuclear RNA (18 nucleotides) under Arabidopsis thaliana (thale cress). Its description in RNAcentral is "snRNA_06590". The record is from RNAcentral. Lineage: Eukaryota; Viridiplantae; Streptophyta; Magnoliopsida; Brassicales; Brassicaceae.
GCGCUAACCUAGAACCCA